Long non-coding RNA from Diabrotica virgifera virgifera (western corn rootworm), 1277 nucleotides. RefSeq lists it as uncharacterized. The transcript is spliced from 3 exons. Lineage: Eukaryota; Metazoa; Arthropoda; Insecta; Coleoptera; Chrysomelidae. The record is from RefSeq and is a predicted model, not a curated record.
AGAUUAAGGGCCGGUACUUUAUGUCUCCGUUAACAGCCGGUUAGUUAACCGAGGUUUAAUCGGGACAGAAAUAUAUGCAAAACAUAGACAUAAACGCAAUUAUACUUAUUAUUAUAUUCAUAAAUAAUUAUAAUAAUAAUUAUAAUUGCUUUUAUUACAACGCAAGAGGCCCUAUGGGGUACUUUUCUGUCCCGAUUAAACCCCGGUUAGCUAACCGAGGUUUAACCGGGACAUAAAGUACCGGCCCUAAAUGUCCAGCAAACGACGGCAAUGUUGCCAGAUUCCUUUUAGCGGGAAUUUUAAAAUUUUAUAGCAGUUUGGUUUUAAAUUUGACAGUUCUGUUUUCUCAAGUCAAAAAUCUUAACCUUACUUUUACAAGUGAUUAAGAUUAUUUUAUUUACAUGUAAAUUGAAACAAUAAAUAUUGUGCUUUGUCAUAAUUUAAAACUCAUUAUGUUGAAGUCUUUUCCAGUUGAUAAAAUUGCAAUUCAAAAACUUUUAGGUAGAUUUGUACUGUAUGGAUGGCACAGGAAGAGAACAGAGAACAAGAGUACAAGAACAUGAAACAUCUUAUUAUGAAUGUAUAUGUAUGUGAUCCUCAAAAAAUUAUUUUUCAAAACAAGAUAGAGAAUGAGCUUUAAAAUCCCAAGGAUCCUGCAAAAUGUCUAUUUGGUGUACUAGUCGAAUAAUAGUACCUAUCUAAAAAUAAUGAAACUGUUUUAAAACACAUUAUGGGCAUGAGGAUGAUAUAGAGCACUUACAUAAAUACCAAAAUCAGAUAAAUAUCUCUUCAAAGUUUAUUUUGAGACUUUCUUCAAAAAUUAAACUUCAGACUGUCCAGGAUAGCAUAAUAGCAUAGGAGGCAAAUUAAGAAGAAUUAAUUUACUUACAAGAAGAGAUAUCACAAACAUUAAACUCUCUUAUGGCAUUGAUUUGAAAGAUGGGUAUAUGUACAAUGAUGAUGCAACCAGUGUUUAUUUUUGGGUUGAAUGCUUACAGAUUAUUUAUUUUUUCCAAUAUUAUUUUACAAACAACAGGGCAUACUAAUGGAUAUUCAUUCUGAAUUUAACAUUUAUGAUUUUUGUCUUAUUUUCCUUAAUACUGUGCCAAAAGGAAAUGUUAAUUAAGUUUGGCAAAUCCUUUAUCGCAAUCGAUGGAACUCAUGGGCUCAAUUCCUAUGACUUUGAACUUAUGACAGUAUUAGUAAAAGAUGAAUUUGGGAAUGGAUUUUGUACUGCUUUCUUAUUUUCAAAUAGAAAAGAUACCUACUUUAAUUUA